This 369-nucleotide ribosomal RNA is filed under the name uncultured bacterium. Its description in RNAcentral is "bacterial SSU rRNA". It matches the Rfam family "Bacterial small subunit ribosomal RNA", at positions 527 to 896 of the family's 1533-position model. The record is from RNAcentral.
GGAGAGUGCUAACGUUGUUCGGAUUCACUGGGCGUAAAGGGCACGUAGGCGGCUCGGCAAAUCAGUCGUGGAAUCCCGACGCUUACCGUCGGAACGGCGGCUGAAAAUACCGGGCUUGAGGGCGUGAGGGGUCACUGGAACUCCUGGUGAAGCGGUGAAAUGCGUAGAUAUCAGGAGGAACGCCGGAGGCGAAAGCGAGUGACUGGCGCGUUCCUGACGCUGAGGUGCGAAAGCUAGGGGAGCAAACAGGAUUAGAUACCCUGGUAGUCCUAGCCGUAAACGAUGGACACUGAGUGGAGGAGGGCUUGCCUUUCUCUGCUGCAGCUAACGCGUUAAGUGUCCCGCCUGGGGAGUACGGCCGCAAGGUUA